RNAcentral lists this ribosomal RNA (468 nucleotides) under uncultured bacterium. RNAcentral's name for it is "partial 16S ribosomal RNA". It matches the Rfam family "Bacterial small subunit ribosomal RNA", at positions 28 to 507 of the family's 1533-position model. The record is from RNAcentral.
GACGAACGCUGGCGGCGUGCUUAACACAUGCAAGUCGAACGGAAAGGCCCUGCUUUUGUGGGGUGCUCGAGUGGCGAACGGGUGAGUAACACGUGAGUAACCUGCCCUUGACUUUGGGAUAACUUCAGGAAACUGGGGCUAAUACCGGAUAGGAGCUCCUGCUGCAUGGUGGGGGUUGGAAAGUUUCGGCGGUUGGGGAUGGACUCGCGGCUUAUCAGCUUGUUGGUGGGGUAGUGGCUUACCAAGGCUUUGACGGGUAGCCGGCCUGAGAGGGUGACCGGCCACAUUGGGACUGCGAUACGGCCCAGACUCCUACGGGAGGCAGCAGUGGGGAAUAUUGCACAAUGGGCGCGAGCCUGAUGCGGCAACGCCGCGUGCGGGAUGACGGCCUUCGGGUUGUAAACCGCUUUCGCCUGUGACGAAGCGUGAGUGACGGUAAUGGGUAAAGAAGCACCGGCUAACUACGUG